GACGAACGCUGGCGGUGUGCCUCAAACAUGCAAGUCGAGGGAGGGUUGGCGACUAGCUUGCUAGUUGUUCAACUCUACCGGCAAACGGGUGAGUAACACGUGGGUGACCUGCCCUCAGCUCUGGGAUAAGCCUGGGAAACCGGGUCUAAUACUGGAUAUGACUCCAUGACGCAUGUUGUGGGGUGGAAAGCCUUGUGCGGCUGAGGAUGGGGCCUGCGGCCUAUCAGCUUGUUGGUGGGGUGAUGGCCUACCAAGGCGA
Molecule: ribosomal RNA, 259 nt
Filed under: uncultured Actinomycetes bacterium
Lineage: Bacteria; Bacillati; Actinomycetota; Actinomycetes
Description: uncultured actinobacterium partial 16S ribosomal RNA
Rfam family: Bacterial small subunit ribosomal RNA
Source: RNAcentral